Molecule: ribosomal RNA, 507 nt
Filed under: uncultured bacterium
Lineage: Bacteria
Description: partial 16S ribosomal RNA
Source: RNAcentral
GGAGUUAGCCGGUGCUUCUUCUGUGAGUGAUGUCCUUCCUGCCGGCUAUUAACCCGCAGGCCUUCUUCCUCACUGAAAGUUCUUUACAACCCGAAGGCCUUCUUCACACACGCGGCAUGGCUGGAUCAGGGUUGCCCCCAUUGUCCAAUAUUCCCCACUGCUGCCUCCCGUAGGAGUCUGGGCCGUGUCUCAGUCCCAGUGUGGCUGAUCAUCCUCUCAGACCAGCUACGGAUCGUCGCCUUGGUGAGCCGUUACCUCACCAACCAGCUAAUCCGACAUAGGCUCAUCCGAUAGCGCGAGGCCCGAAGGUCCCCCGCUUUCCCCCGUAGGGCGUAUGCGGUAUUAGCCUGGGUUUCCCCAGGUUAUCCCCCACUACCGGGCAGAUUCCUAUGCAUUACUCACCCGUCCGCCGCUCGCCACCAGGGAGCAAGCUCCCCGUGCUGCCGCUCGACUUGCAUGUGUUAGGCCUGCCGCCAGCGUUCAAUCUGAGCCAGGAUCAAACUCUGA